UAAUGAAAGUUUUUCCAGUCGGUCCAACAU
RNAcentral lists this non-coding RNA (30 nucleotides) under Mus musculus (house mouse). The record is from RNAcentral. Lineage: Eukaryota; Metazoa; Chordata; Mammalia; Rodentia; Muridae.